This 72-nucleotide transfer RNA is filed under the name Camelus bactrianus (Bactrian camel). It matches the Rfam family "tRNA". From Rfam's summary of the family: Transfer RNA (tRNA) molecules are approximately 80 nucleotides in length. Their secondary structure includes four short double-helical elements and three loops (D, anti-codon, and T loops). RNAcentral also lists the same sequence under 2 other names. The record is from Rfam by way of RNAcentral. Lineage: Eukaryota; Metazoa; Chordata; Mammalia; Artiodactyla; Camelidae.
GGGGCUAUAGGUCAGUGGUAGAGCACAUACCUAGCAUGCACAAGGUCCUGGGUUCAAUCCCCAGUACUUCCA